CAUGACAACAAUGAAAAUUUCCUAGCCUGCUGUGGUUGUUUUCAACAGAUUUUUCUCUUUUUUUAAGCUGACUGUGUUACAACUGCCAGAUUCAGCAGGAUUCAGCAAAGCAGGAACCAUGAUACUCAACCUGAAUUCUGUAUUUUGCUAAUUGAGAUCCACGUCUAAUGGUGAAAUUCCUUGUUCUCCUACUGCAGCGAUUUUCAGACUCUAUACCUUUGGCAAAUCCCUUCCGAUGUUUGUGAUCGCUUUACUGAUGGUUUGUUCAUCAUCCUACGUAUGCUUCUAUAUUUGUGAUGGC
Podarcis lilfordi (Lilford's wall lizard) is the source of this 301-nucleotide non-coding RNA. The record is from the annotation of a GenBank genome assembly. Lineage: Eukaryota; Metazoa; Chordata; Lepidosauria; Squamata; Lacertidae.